UGGGGAAUAUUGGACAAUGGGGGCAACCCUGAUCCAGCGAUGCCGCGUGUGUGAAGAAGGCCUGCGGGUUGUAAAGCACUUUAGUUGGGGAGGAGAAGGUUUGUAUGAAUAAUGCGGACUGGAGACGUUACCCAAAGAAUAAGCACCGGCAAACUCUGUGCCAGCAGCCGCGGUAAUACAGAGGGUGCAAGCGUUAAUCGGAGUUACUGGGCGUAAAGGGCACGUAGGUGGUUAUGUAAGUCAGUUGUGAAAUCCCCGGGCUUAACCUGGGAACUGCAGCUGAAACUGUAUGACUAGAGUCGAAGAGAGGGAAGCGGAAUUUCCGGUGUAGCGGUGAAAUGCGUAGAUAUCGGAAGGAACAUCUGUGGCGAAGGCGGCUUCCUGGAUUCAGACUGACACUGAGGUGCGAAAGCGUGGGUAGCGAACAGGAUUAGAUACCCUCGUAGUCCCUGAGCGGGCUGGCAAGGCGCAU
This 472-nucleotide ribosomal RNA is filed under the name uncultured bacterium. RNAcentral describes it as "bacterial SSU rRNA". It matches the Rfam family "Bacterial small subunit ribosomal RNA", at positions 355 to 825 of the family's 1533-position model. The record is from RNAcentral.